GUAUUAGAGGACUGGGGCGACUCUGCUGAAUGUGAGAAGAAAGCGUUUUGUUCUCAGAAACAGUCUGUUGGCCUGGAUACAAGCUGGCAUCCUGGAAGACCAGGAGAAUGCUAAAUGGCCUGGUGGCCCUACAGAGUCAUGGGAUUUUAAGAACAAUCUAACAAGAUACAUCCAUAUAUCUGAGGGAGGACUUCAUCAUGUGAAUGUGGAUCUCUCCUCUUGUAGAGACAUUACCAGGCAGACAUUACCACUCACCAUUGCAAUGUUCAUCAUUCUGAGAAAAUUAUUUUUUUACAGCUAACUAAAAAAGAAAACUUGUACAGUUAUAGCCCAUAUUUUUAGGCUAUCGUCCAUGGCGAUAGAUAACAUUUGGCCCUCACUAUCUGGAAGAGAUGAAGAAAGGCCCACAAUCUUCUCUAGUCAACAAAGAAAUGCUUGAUAGAAUCAUCAGAGGGCUGACUGGUGUCUGGCAAGUGCAGGGAAGUGGAUUGAAUUAAUAGGGGCUUUUUGUUCUCCAAAAAGUGUGUGGACAAAGGCUGUGCUAAACGGGCAGCAUCUCCAUAACUCUCUUGACAUAUGUUCUGACUCUGCUAUGUAAGCCCACAAAAAGUUAGCAUAUGGCCUUCUUUCUCUUUCCCCAGGGAAAACAACAGGCCGGGACAUGCCUGCUAGCCUGCUGCAGCCCUUGCUGUGGAAAAAGGAGUGUCGGUGGCAUUGCUGCCAAAAAAUAUCCUUCAGAGGGCUCCCAGAAGGUUUGGCCUGGCUUGACCUCACCAUGGAUGAGAGGCAAGGCCAAUUCUGGCUGGUUCCUAGGCCAAGCAGCCCACCCUGACAGCACAGUUGAGGUCUGGGUUUGGAGUUGAGGUUAAAUAUAGCCUCACACACCUUCUGGAGUCACACUCGGGUGCCUCCAAAGGGCAAAUUGGUCUUAAAAUGAUUCACUCACAGGGAAAAAAUCACAUCCAUUUUCUUUCCUUGGGCUGUACAGUUCACAGAGACAUAAAAGGUUUGAAAUGUGUUGGCUUCUCAGAUCUUCUGAUGAGACUGAGCUGCAGAAGUGCAGCAGCUGGUGGCAAAAGCAGCAUCUCAGCACUUUCUAUUCUCCUGUUCUCUCCUCCACUCCGAUUCCCCCACCCACGCUUUGCCUUUUUAUUGCUGACACCCCAGAAGCCUCCAGGAAACAUGGCCCAGAGGCAUAAGAUCCAAGGUUUUCAGGUCAGAGUAGUGCGGGAGCUUCAGCCUUUUCUGAAGCGAAGCUAUGGGGCAGACACACAGCCUUCCAUCUGUUCUGGUGAUAAGCCAGUCUGGUAUUGAUUGUUGGACUUUGACAAAGAACACGUGGAUAUGACAAGGUUGCUUCCCUGCCCCACUCAAUAGCAAGCAAACCGAAAGCACUUUCCAGGCAAAAUUAACCAGUGAAAGAGAAGGUAGGUGUGAUAUUGUGAUUUAUAAUGAAAAUGAUAUAUUUGGUUUCAUCCCCAUAUCUGGCACAGAGCUCCUAAAACCCCUGAAAGUUCCUAAGUGAUGGGAACAAUAAAGGCGUCUCUGAUCUUCUU
This is a long non-coding RNA of Canis lupus familiaris (dog), 1556 nucleotides long. RefSeq lists it as uncharacterized. Lineage: Eukaryota; Metazoa; Chordata; Mammalia; Carnivora; Canidae. The record is from RefSeq and is a predicted model, not a curated record. The transcript has 2 exons.